GCCUGAGGAAAAUACCUUAGA
RNAcentral lists this non-coding RNA (21 nucleotides) under Rattus norvegicus (Norway rat). The record is from RNAcentral. Lineage: Eukaryota; Metazoa; Chordata; Mammalia; Rodentia; Muridae.